This is a small nuclear RNA of 169 nucleotides. Its record names the gene U2. It matches the Rfam family "U2 spliceosomal RNA". From Rfam's summary of the family: U2 is a small nuclear RNA (snRNA) component of the spliceosome (involved in pre-mRNA splicing). The record is from Ensembl.
AUAGUGUAGCAUAGCAUCUGUUCUUAUCAGUUUAAUAUCUGAUACAACCUCUAUGAAAGGACAAUAGAUGAAAUGGAUUUUUGGAGCCGGGAGUAGCAAUAGGAGCCUGCUCUGUCCCCUCCACAUAUUGACCUACUGUUGCAGCACCUCCAGGAUUGGCACACCCCCU